RNAcentral lists this long non-coding RNA (534 nucleotides) under Anas platyrhynchos platyrhynchos (common mallard). Its description in RNAcentral is "lncRNA (ENSAPLG00000029130.1)". Lineage: Eukaryota; Metazoa; Chordata; Aves; Anseriformes; Anatidae. The record is from RNAcentral.
GAACCUGAUCCAAAGUAAACUGACAUGAACAAGAAAGUUGAUACUGACUCCAAAAUAAGUUGUUCCCAUCCUAAACAUUGGAAAGAGGAGUAAAGCAAAACAAACAGAAAUGAAGCAGUUCAGAGCUAGGCACUAAUUUCCAUACACAUCUCUCUUUUGUUUUCCACACUUGUUUAAGGAAAGCAAAAAAUUGCUUUUCUGAGCUUAAAUAUUUCUGAAUACCUUUUGGAAAACUCCAGAAGCUGAAAUAUUUUCAACUUCCCUUGUUAUUCUGUUCCCUUCAGUGUGACCGUAUGGCGGUGUCAUUCCCUCACCAGGUGGUGGCAUGCAGUGGUGACAUUCCCUAACUGCCCGCAGUGGAUCUAGCACACAAGUCCAAGAGCCCACAAGUCCAAGAGAGUUCACAGAGCGCUUCUCCACCCUGCUUUGGUGCAGGUUCCUGAGCCAAUAUCGCUGUGCCAUGUACUGCUCUUUGGAUGUACAAGCUCUCCUAAGUUUUCAUAUUUUAUUUUGAAUACCCUUUCCUUCAUUGGU